This 1031-nucleotide long non-coding RNA is filed under the name Mus spretus (western wild mouse). Its description in RNAcentral is "lncRNA (ENSMSPG00010047619.1)". The record is from RNAcentral. Lineage: Eukaryota; Metazoa; Chordata; Mammalia; Rodentia; Muridae.
GUCUUUGUCUGGAGUCUCUGACAUCUUCCCAUCUUCAGAGUGGGUGCAGAAGUUGCGCACUCUGGCAAGCGCAGAGGCCGGCACUCCAUAAAAGAGAAGUGCCCUGUGUAUGUGAGCCGUCAGCGACCCGCAAGAAAGCUUUUCUUAGUUUUCAUUCUUAGUUAACGUUGAAAUUUAGUGGCAAACUUUAGAGUCUGCAGUUCCUUUAGGGGCAAAUGUCCUGAAUCGCGCAAUGGAGAGACAGGAUUCGGGGAGGGAGGAAAACGUGGGGGAAAGCGGAGAAGAGGGAGAGGGGAAAGAGGAGAGCCAACGCAGGAAGCAACAGACCCAAACUACAGACCGUUAUUGAGGGAGGGAACAAAGGAGGCAUGAACCUCUCCCCAACCCUGUAGCAGUAUGAACCUCCAUCUAGAGGCUGCAAUGGAGUCCUGAUUUAUGCUAGGCCCAGUUCCCCAAGUCUUUGUGGGGAAAGCAGCCAGGCAGACAACACACCAAGGGUCCCAGGGAUGUUUUUUUGAUGAAAGGGUUCAACAGAGAAAGGAAUUGGGAAAAGCUGAGAAAGGCCAGGCACAACUCAGCAUGUCCUGACUUCGAGGAGCCGGAAUUAGCCAUAGUGACUGUGGCUGGGACCCCCUGUGCUCCCUCAGCACAAAGAUACCUGCUCUGAGUGUUCUGGUGAUGAGACUUGGCCCCUAAGGAACCCAUGGACCUAAGCCACAGUGUGCACUUUGGGUAACUCCGGGAGGUUUUCUGUAAGACUGCAGCUGUGUGCCAGGAAGACCACACCCACACGUCACAUCUCUUCAGGGACAUCGAGCGGGAAGUUGUGUCCUUUCUUUACCCCAUUGCAUCGCACAUUUCCUAUAAUAUCCCUGGUACGUGGACCUUGCUCAUUAUUCUGCAUGGCACAGGACAUGGCUUAUUCCCCGUUAGCAUUUCAUAAUAUUUGCUAUUAGAAAGCAAGUCCUAUGACAGGAAGAGAUGUUAUAAAUUGGAUGUUUAAUUAACAGGAAUAAAACUGUGGUCAAUCA